CAUGUCUCGCUCUCUCUAUCAACUCUCCCCCAAAUCUUUAUUCUCCAAAUCGUUCCAACUCGCUGUAGCCAAGCUUACUGCUGGCCUAUCUCCUAGAACCAAGCUUCGACUGCGACUGCUCGUCACUUCUGGGCGCCUUCUUCCAUCACCCGAGACCCAAGUCAGCACCGGUAAAGAUCUCUUGAUUCCUCACGGUCGGACCGACUUCGAAGCAAGCUACUGGUCGUCUAUCUCACCCCCUUUCUUAUUAUUAGUAAGAUAGGUUGCCCCUUGCUCUUUGCUCCAGGUAACCCUAUCUUCUUAUACCUUAAUUUCUUACUGCAAGAUACUACCCUAUUUUGUUUUUCUUUGGAUUGAGCCCUAACUAGAUUCUAGGUUAAACGUUAUUUUGUUUUUCUAUGGUUUUUACUGUGUUUCUCUUUGUAAUUUUGAGGUGUAUGUUUAUCUUUUUUCCCCUACUCAACGAUGAAUGUUCCAUGUCAUUAGAACAACCUUGCAGAAUCAUAUUCAACAAACCCUUUUCUACCUAUUUUGUCUCUCAAAGUGUGAAUGUCUGCAACCUGAUUUGAUUUAACUCCUUGUUGUCUUUAUUUUGCAGUUGAAAAUGAAUUUGGAGUUUGUUGUUUUUCUCUUUGGAUUUUGUGUCAAAAUAUUAGGUUUGGUACCAAUUGCACUCUAAUAUGCCCAUUUGAUUCAACUUGAUUUCUUUUGCUUACGUUACUUUCAUGGAUUGAUUAAAUUAAAGAAGUAUCUUGUAUGGAUGCUGAGAAAAUUUUGGGAAAGUGUGGCGUUUACUGCGUUUGUUAGAUGGUUUUAGUGUUAGGUAGUUUCAUAGAUGGUUUUUUGAAUACUCAUUCACUUGUUGGCGAUAACAUUCUGUACAUUGGGAGCAUAUGUACUACAAAAAGUAAUAAAUUUAGUAAUCAAAAGAGCUUAAUUAUAAAUCAUCCAUUUUUUGUACUUAUAUGUAGAUUUGUUGAUUUAUCUAUGUAUAGUACGAAUGGUAUGGAAACAGUGCCAGAAUUGUCUAUUGGAAUGUGUAGUCUAACCAAAAAUAAGAAUCAUUGUUCUGUAAUUGUUUAUUGUAGUAUGCAACAAUGCAAUACUACUACUACUUUGGGUUAACAAGUUUAUAUUUCCUCAUAUUCAAAUCAAUGUAUUCCUGUAUCUAUGUGUUCCUGUAUCUAUUUUCUGGUGUAGCUGGGAUACUUUUAUGCUUGCGAUUUUUCUCCAUUUUUGAUUUAGAUAAGUGUACUUUUUACAUUGUGUUGAUAUGUUACCAUAGUAUUCAUUUCCGUGUUUUUGUAGAUUGAUUUUAUUAGAGAGGAACUGCUAAAUAUCAAGUUUCCUAUAAUACAGAUGAGUUCUUUUACAUCAACACCUUUAAUAUUUUUCUCGAGUGUCAUUCUGAUUUGUAGAGUUGUAUGAACUGUUAGUACAUAGGCACACUUAAGAGAGAGUGAAUUAGGUGUUUAGAAUUUUUAUGGUUUUUAGAGAGUUAGUGGAUUAUUUUUUUGAUUGGGAUUAGUGUAUAAAAAAACUUGUAAAUGACAGAAAAAUAGAGAACAAACGAUUUAUCCUGCUUCCCCUUUCAAACCAAUGGUACAUCCAGACCUCUUGCACACCAUAAGAGAUUUUCCACUAUUGUUAGAAUAAGUACAAGGCUAACUCUAAGACUUUUGUUACAAACUUCUAACAAUCUUUCUAAGCUAGCACACCACUAUCCUAGUUUACAACACUUGAAAAAAUUACACCAAUUUCCUCAAUUUACACAAUAAUUUGAAUGAUUUUACAACAAUGAUUUUAACUAAAAUCAAGAGAAUAUAACAAUUGAUGCUUUUUUGUGCAAUGAUAACAGUCUAAUAUAAUUUCAAGUACAAUAGAGAACCUUUCUCAAUGAUAUGACAAUGUAAAACAUGUAGUUGAAAUAUGAAAGUAUGACUUUGAAUAAUUCACAAAAUAUUUCAGAAAAUGUUAUUCUAAGAUACGUUUUAAGGUUCUUAAGUUAAAUCUAAAGCUAGGAAGUAUUUAUACUCCUUAGACAUUACUUCAGAUUAGUGACAAUCGUUCAUAGAAGUUUGAUGAACAUAUGCAAUGAUCCAGAAUCCACAAGAAUUGAAAAAUUGUAUUGCUUCACAGUUGUAUUCGGCUACAACCUGACUAGAUUUUGCCAUUGACUUGAUUUUGUAUAUGGCUACAACAGUAGUCGAAUAUAAAAGUGCAAUUUUAGCUACUAACUUGGUAUUUCUAUUCGGCUACAACAUCCUAUAGUCGAAUACAGAUCUACAAUUUUUGCUACUGACUUGGAUUUGUAUUCGACUACAACAUGCUGUAGUCAAAUAUAGAUGUACAGUUUUUGCUACUGACUUCAUAUGUAUUCGGCUAAACAUAUAUGUAGUCGAAUACAACCUUAACUUUUGUCAAAAACUUGAUUUUCAAACAUUGUUCAUGCAACUUCAUACUUUGAAAAUUCUUUUGAUGCAUAUGUUAAAGUAGAAGAUUGUCAUGUGCAUUUGAAAUAUAACAAUAUUAGAUUGCACCAUGUACCUUAAACUAUAAGUCUUCUAGCAUAUUGACAAUAGUUGACUUGUUUGUUGACUUCACUUUGAACUUGCAACUUGAUCACUUUACUUGGUCUUUGUCUUCAUCUAAAACAUAAGUAUUCUUGCAUAUUUACAUGAACCACAACACCAAUUUACUGCAAACUGAUCUAUCUUUUAUCCCCUUUGAGGAUAAGGAAUUAAGAACAACGUUAGAAAUACUGAGUUCAAAAUGCAUGUGUCAACUAACAAUAUUGGAUAACAAAAAAUGAACCAAACGAAUCUGGUUCGUAGCUAAACUAUUUGAAGCAGUUGUUAUAUGUGUUCUUACAACAUACAUGUCUAUUGGAUUGGGAAAAAAGUAACUAUUUUGCAAGAGGGUUUAAUUAAAUUAUUUUACGUAAAACUUGUUUUAUCUAAAAAUUAUUCUGCUUAUAGAAAAGUUCAAUAUCAUUUACUGAAAUUAUGUUUUGAUAACUAAUUUAGAGUUUUCUUACCAGGUUGGGCACUCUAUUGGUUCAUACAUAUCUGUUGGAAUAUCAAUUUCUUCCCACGGGUGUCUUAGAUUUGCAUCAAAGGUUGCAGGGAUUUAGGAUCUUGGCAUGUUAGGUUGUGGCAGUGGAGAAGAGAUUGGAACAUAUGUUGAAAAACUCAUGACAAGUGAACUUUUUGAAAAUGUGAUAGAUAUAUGUCUUGUAGGAGCACUCACUUCAAAAUCUUUUGCAUUUAAAGCCCAAAAAUGGGAGUUGAAGGGCACAUAGAGCAUUGAUGUUACUGAUGCAGUUGAGUCAAAUAUUCGAAUUGAUAGUAGAGGACCUAAAGUCAUAUGCAUUGUUCCUCAUUUAAAAGAGGUUAGAUUCUGAUGGAAAUGUUUUGUCAAACUAUUUGUGGUUGCCAAAGCUUCAAUUUUUCUUAUGAUUAUUAACAUUAUUUAAUUUUUGCAAGAAAAGCCAUGGUACCAAGUUUGCUGGUGCUUAAAUACUAUGAAAUGUUGUCUCGUGAUUUCAUAGUAUGAAUUAAUUUGGAAAAUAAUUGUUAUUCAUUAACCUAAUUUACAUCUUAUAAGAAUUGAUGCUUUCCAAAAGAUGAUACCAAUGAAUUCUUGACUUAAUCUGAUUAAUUGGUUGUAGUUUUUUUUUUUUUUUUGCAUUCAAGCAUGUUGCUGCAAAGUCUUGUGUUAUGAAUAUGUAGUAAUCACUACGCGAAAAACUGCAUUUUAUAGCGCUUUUUUUAAUCCAUUUACGGCGCUUUUUUUUUUGAAAAAGCGCUGUGGAAUCGAUAGAAGUAUUUGGAGUGGAUCUUUUGUAUUUCUUUAUUGUAUACAUUUGAUGAGUUAUUUUUAUGUUGGUUUUAUUAAUUUUUUCAAGUGGGUUAAAGUUAAGGCCAUUACUACUUCUGUUUUAAAUAAAUACGAGUGGUUGGAUGUUAAACAAAUAAGUUUUUAGUGGUAUUUUGUGCUACUGGUCUAAUUAUGAUAGUAAUUGUUAAACUUUAUGCAGAUAGGUAUGGUAUUUGUACCAAGAAAGUAUAUCAUGGGCCAUUUGGAUGAGAGCCUUGCAAUUGGAUCCAUGUUGUAAAUUUUUUUGAAUGCAAGUCUACAAGAGGAAGAAACAUUAGUAAAACAUUAAAAAAUUGUGUUAACAAUGUAGUUGAUAUUUAAUUUAAUGUAUAAAUGUAUUUUGUUGUUGGAAUUUAGUGUGUUUUUAAAAUAUAUUUUUAAGGCUAAAAAGUAUAUUUUUACAAUUUAUAAUUUUUUUUUAAUUAAGUAAAGUAGAGAUCGACAUGGUGACAAUUUUAAAUAAUUUGAUAAAAUUAGUCACUAAAUUAGUCUCUAAAAUUAGUCACUGAAUUGGUUGCUGAAAUUUCGGUCGCUUAUUCAGUCACUAUGCAUUAGCGACUAGCAUUUUAGCUCUUGAUUAAAACUAGAUGCAAACCUGCACAUUGCGCGCUAAAAUUUUAUAUAUUAGUAAGUAUAAAAUAACAGUAAUAUAAAAAAGUAAUGUUAUUUUUGUUUUAGAGUAGAAAUACUCAAGCAUUUAUGUGUCUAACGAUAAAUAUUUUUUGAAUACUUAUAUAUAGACUUUUUUUUAUUUAUAUCAUUUUUUUUUAUUUGACCGAAAUGCCACAUUUCGGAAAAAAUAUACAUAAAUGUAAGAACAGAAGUGCGCCUAAGAGUGAGGGUGAAUUAGGUGUUUAGAAAUUUUCUUGUUUUUCGAGAUUUAGUGUUUGAUUUUUCUGAUUUAAGAUAGUGUAUGGAAAAGAUAAAUAGCAGAAAAAUAAAGAACAAAAAGAUAUUAUCCUGGUUCCCCUUAUAACCAAGGGUACAUCCAGUCUUCUUGCACACCACAAGAGAUUUUCCACUACUGUUAGAAUAAGUACAGAUCCCACCCUAGGACAUUUGUUACAAACUUCUAACAAUCACCCUAAGAUAGCACACCAUUAUCUUAGUUUACAAAACUUGAAGAAAGAACACCACUUUCCUCAAUUGACAACACUUGAAGAAAGUUGUAACACCCCGAUUUUCAAAGCGAGGGUUAAUUUAUAAUUUUUUUUUAUUUUUUUUAUUUUUUUUAAAGAAAUUAAAAUAAAUAAGAGAAUUAAAAAAAGGUAAUACCUUUGGAUAAAUAAUUGAGUCAUUAUAAUUUAGAAGCAGCGGAAAAGUUUCUCAAAUUAUGAAUCCAAAGUAUUAACACAACAACAAAUGAUACAUGGAACCCAUUCAAAUAAGAUGUCAUACUGACAAUAUUAGUAAAUGUACAGUUUUCCAGUUCAAAAUAACGUAAUCCAAAAGAAAGACAUUUGUUCCCUCUACGUCAUCCUAAUCUGAUCAUUCUACAAAAAAAAUAGUUAUACUGGAAUACUAAUAAAAUAUAUAUGUUUUAUGAUACUGAUUCAUAUAUUAUUUACAGUAAGGUUACAUUUUUAUCUUUUCUUGUAUUGAUUUUGUCUAACUUCAAUAACUUAACAGUACCAUACCAUGCGAAAUGUCCUCUAUAUGACCUUGACUGACUUCAAAAAGGUAAAUGGCUUCCUUUCUAUGAAUCUGGUUUGUAGCUAAACUAUUUGCAAGCAGUUGUCAUUUGUGUUCUUACAACAUACAUAUCUAUUGGAUUGGGAAAACAAUAACUAUUUUGCAAGAGGGUUUAAUUAAAUUAUUUUACGUAAAACUUGUUUUAUCUAAAAAUUAUUCUGCUUAUAGAAAAGUUCAAUAUCAUUUACUGAAAUUAUGUUUUGAUAACUAAUUUAGAGUUUUCUUACCAGGUUGGGCACUCUAUUGGUUCAUACAUAUCUGUUGGAAUAUCAAUUUCUUCCCACGGGUGUCUUAGAUUUGCAUCA
This 5876-nucleotide long non-coding RNA is filed under the name Cicer arietinum (chickpea). Its description in RNAcentral is "long non-coding RNA (CARI_LNC003042)". Lineage: Eukaryota; Viridiplantae; Streptophyta; Magnoliopsida; Fabales; Fabaceae. The record is from RNAcentral.